RNAcentral lists this long non-coding RNA (1701 nucleotides) under Malus domestica (apple). Its description in RNAcentral is "long non-coding RNA (MDOM_LNC008966)". Lineage: Eukaryota; Viridiplantae; Streptophyta; Magnoliopsida; Rosales; Rosaceae. The record is from RNAcentral.
CCGAACUCAUGUGACCAGAAACAAAAAUAUUCAAAUAAUUUAUCUUAUUAAAAUGCAAUGCUUUAGAAUAUUUCCAUUGAUAGAGAUUCAAAGAAGCAGACAAAGACUAGUGGGCGAUAGAUACAAGUUACCUUACUCAACUACGACCUAAAAUGUAUCCUUUUCUAUGCUUUGUUUUAUUUGGUUCAAAAAAUGUAUCCUUCUCAAACUAAAUAAAUAAGUCGCCGGUCAUCAUCACAGCAAGGUGAAGGAAUCUUUUCUUUUGUAUGGUACGUGUGGAACGGAUCUUUUCUCUGGAACUCCCCAAAAUGAAUUACUGUUGGCCCAGUACGCUAUUCCCACUAUAAAAUCAAUUAUUGAUGUUCAUUAUGUCAUGUAUUACGUCAGCCAAACAAUUCCAAACUUUCUAUUUUUCUAACAAUCGAUAUUCUCUACGUUAAGAGGAGGGAGGAUUGAUCUCAUAAUAGUCUAGCAAUAAUGUUGUUUAAAUUCGUAAUUUUAAACUUUUUAUAUAGUAAUUUUAACCUUUUAUUAUAUUAUACUAAAAUAAUAGACACACCAUAUUUCUAUCAUAUGGGUGUAAUCUUUAAUUGAUUAUAAAGUUGUACUAAAUUUUCGCAGGAAGAAGAUUAAUUUUUUAUUUUUUUACAAACGAUAGCGUAGUAUUAAAAUGUUAAUUGUUAAGGGGCGAGAGAGUUGGUGUAGAUCGAAUAUAUACCAUAAUGCAUAUGUAUCAUUGUUUCCGUUACUGCUAUUAAACUUGACAAAACCUAAAACUGCAUUCUAUCACCUUUAAAACUGCAUUCUAUCACCUCUCAGACCAUGUUCAACCCUUAAUUCAAAAUUGGGGCUUUUAGAUCUAGAUCCAGAAACAUAAAUUGUUUAUAGGACUGAGUUUAAUUAUAUAAUUACAAAUUUUUUUUUCUUUUAUGAUCAUUUUAUAUUUUCUAAAAUAUUAAAAAUCAGUUAAAAUCUUCUAAAAUCAUGCCUUUUCCAACAAUAUAAGAUCUAAUUAAUAUCUUAUUAAAAAAAACUAAUAUACUAACAUAAAUUUAUCUGCAAAACAUUAUACCCUAACUCAAGUAACAAAUAUACGAAUGUAUAUUAUACCUAUAAGCGAGAUAUGAAAUGUAACUAAAAGGUAAAAAAAACAUAAUAUACAUACAAGUAAGACACAAUAAUCUGUAAUAGGUUGAUUAUAAUAAACAAUCUGUCAUGUAAGUAAAUAAAUACCAUGAACUUGUCAUAUAGGUUGAUUAUAAGAAUUCAAAAUAAAAUCUAUAAUGGGGUUUAGAGUAGGAAGAAGAACAAGAAAUAACAAAAAAUAUUAAAAAAUAAUAAUUAAAUAGAUAAUUACGAAGAAAUUUGAUUUUUAUAUUAAAUUUAUCAUUGAAAAGCUAAUUAUUGGUAAUAAAAUAAUUAAAUUUAAGAAAUUAGACAUUUUAAUAAACUGACCUAUUCCUACAUUGGUUCAAAAAAUUGAACUUUAUCCAACCAAGUCAUUUGAAACCAUUGGGCCAAAAUAAUCCAUGGGGAAAAAUAAAUGUUUGCGCUAGAUUUCAUUCAAGAAUUAAGCCUGGCUUCAUUUUCUUGGGCCCGCCAUGCAUGUCGACACGCUGGGAAAAAAAAGCCCAUCAAGUUUGAAGCGUUGCACGCGACAAAGCUGACAGUCGUUGGGACCCAGCGCUGCAGAUUUGUCGG